Vitis vinifera (wine grape) is the source of this 1242-nucleotide long non-coding RNA. RefSeq lists it as uncharacterized. The record is from RefSeq and is a predicted model, not a curated record. The transcript has 2 exons. Lineage: Eukaryota; Viridiplantae; Streptophyta; Magnoliopsida; Vitales; Vitaceae.
GGGGGAUCAGAGAAUAGGGAGAGGAAGGGAACUGGAGUCUUCCCUGUUUUGGAGUAACAAAAAGCGUGAGAAGCUGACCAAGCUGUGAGAAACCUAGGGGCUUAAAGCGUGAGAAGCUGACCAAGCUAUGAGAAACCUAGGUAUGACCGUCAUGGAUCUUUUAUUUCUUUUCGUCGGCAUGUAGUCUCUUUCUCUUUUCUUGGUAUUUGAUGUGAAUUGCUUGAUUAGGGGCUUAGUUCCAUGGUUUCUGUUUGGUUUAUUGUUGUUAUCUCCUUCAUUUUCUUUGGGGUGACUCGAGAGCAACACGACUCUGUUUUAGCUUCAUUAUCAUCAUGUGGGAGUUUUGUUUUUGCUUUCAUUUCCAUGGGAUGCACUUAGUUCAUAUCUACUUCUAAGCUAGGGAACCAAAAACACAAAAUGUGGCCUUCACCGGUUCAUCUUGGUUUCAUCCUCCAUACUCUGUUUUUCUUGGUUGCUGUCCUCUGUUCUCUGUUGGUACUUUGGAUGCGUGGCAUUAUAUGCAUCAUUCGUUGAUAAUGUUGGAGACUGGUUCUUAGAUGUUGACGGAACUUGGUACCUGAGCUUGUGAAAAGGGGAGAAGACUUGGUGGCUUCAUGGGAAUACCAACUCAUGAGAAUGGUGGCUCCAUACAGAGAAGUUUUAAACGAGCAAUGAUGAAUUUAAAGCAGCUGAGUUAGAAGCUUUUAUUAGACCCAUUAAGGAUGCGAAUAUUGAUCUUAAAAAAGGAAUGGCAGCCUUGUCAAAGGAGUUCUCGUCGGAUAAGGAUUGGAUUCUUAGAAUUAGUGCGGACUUUGAAAAUUUCUAGGGAGGCAGAUAGAGGUGCAGAUGGGGUGUGUGGUCGGUUUCUUUCAAAUUUUCAAUCAGAACCAGAUUCUCGUCGGAAAAGAUAGCAUGUGACGACACGCCUGACUUCCCGCGUGCAUGGCGUGCCGACUCCAUCAUCUCCGUGGUCGGUCUCCUCACCACCGUCGGCAGCGGCGACAGUAGCUGUGAGGACGAUCCUCUCGCUGUGGAGGGUUGCGGCGUCCAGUCCCAGUCCGCACCAGUCACCUCCCAAGGCGCAUGCAGUGGCCAUCAUUGCCCCAUUUCCUAACUCCCAGCACUAAGAGUUUUAUCUUUCUUUGUUUAUUUUAUUUUAGUCAUUCACCCUUUCUUUGUUUCACGUUCUCAAAUGACCCCUAUAAAAUCCCUUAAAAUUUCAAAGUCCUAGAUUUACUAAUC